CCCGCCCGUUUACCCAAAAAACAUCGCCUCUUGCCAAACUAUAAAGAGGUCCCAGCCUGCCCCAGUGACUUUGUUUCAACGGCCGGCGGUAUCCUAAACCGUGCGAAAGGUAGCGUAAUCACUUGUUCUUUAAAUGAGGACUAGUAUGAAUGGCCCCACGAGGGCUGCACUGUCUCCUUUUUCUAAUCAAUGAAACUAAUCUCCCCGUGAAGAAGCGGGGAUAACCAUAUAAGACGAGAAGACCCUAUGGAGCUUAAAACGACUGAAACAUUUGCUUUUCCCUUAACCGCCCCAGAGCUCUUUAUCUUACCUAAGCAUUAUUAUUUCUAGUUUUAGGUUGGGGUGACCACGGAGCAAAACUAAACCUCCACGAAGAAAUGAAUAUUUCUUAAGCCACAAACUACUUUUUUAAGCAUCAACAANAUUGACCUUCAUUGACCCAAUAUAUUGAUCAACGAACCAAGUUACCCUAGGGAUAA
Molecule: ribosomal RNA, 479 nt
Filed under: Ameerega hahneli
Lineage: Eukaryota; Metazoa; Chordata; Amphibia; Anura; Dendrobatidae
Description: partial 16S ribosomal RNA
Rfam family: Bacterial large subunit ribosomal RNA
Source: RNAcentral